This 91-nucleotide transfer RNA is filed under the name Verrucomicrobiota bacterium. RNAcentral's name for it is "Verrucomicrobia bacterium (groundwater metagenome) tRNA-Ser". It matches the Rfam family "tRNA". Rfam says of the family: Transfer RNA (tRNA) molecules are approximately 80 nucleotides in length. Their secondary structure includes four short double-helical elements and three loops (D, anti-codon, and T loops). The record is from RNAcentral. Lineage: Bacteria; Pseudomonadati; Verrucomicrobiota.
GGAGAGGUGGCAGAGUGGUCGAUCGCGCCUGACUCGAAAUCAGGUGUUGGCUUAUACCCAACCGUGGGUUCGAAUCCCACCCUCUCCGCCA